CAUGUCUUUUUGAAUAUAAUUUAAAGUCUAACCUGCCCAAUGAUUUAAUUUAAUGGCCGCGGUAUUUUAACUGUGCAAAGGUAGCAUAAUCAUUAGUUUUUUAAUUAAAAGCUGGAAUGAAUGGUUGAACGAAAUAAAAACUGUCUAAUUUAAAUAAUUAAAAUUUUAUUUUUAAGUUAAAAAGCUUAAAUAAAUUUAAAAGACGAGAAGACCCUAUAGAGCUUUAUAUAAAUUAUAUUAAUUGAUUAUUUAUAUUUAAAUAAUAAUUAAUUUAAUUUAUAUUUUAUUGGGGUUAUAUUAAGAUAUAUAAAAUUCUUAAUUAUUUAAAACAUUAAUUUAUGAUUAUUUGAUCCAAUUUUAUUGAUUAAAAGUUUAAGUUACCUUAGGGAUAACAGCGUAAUUUUUUUAAAGAGUUCUAAUCGAAAAAAAAGAUUGCGACCUCGAUGUUGGAUUAAAGAAAAUUUUAGGUGUAGUAGUUUAAAAUUUAAGUCUGUUCGACUUUUAAAUCUUUACAUGAUCUGAGU
RNAcentral lists this ribosomal RNA (524 nucleotides) under Eucinetus haemorrhoidalis. RNAcentral describes it as "partial 16S ribosomal RNA". The stretch from base 388 to 524 matches the Rfam family "Bacterial large subunit ribosomal RNA", at positions 2473 to 2610 of the family's 2925-position model. The record is from RNAcentral. Lineage: Eukaryota; Metazoa; Arthropoda; Insecta; Coleoptera; Eucinetidae.